GAUGAACGCUGGCGGCGUGCCUAAUACAUGCAAGUCGAGCGAACAGAUGAGGAGCUUGCUCCUCUGACGUUAGCGGCGGACGGGUGAGUAACACGUGGAUAACCUACCUAUAAUACUGGGAUAACUUCGGGAAACCGGAGCUAAUACCGGAUAAUAUAUUGAACCGCAUGGUUCAAUAGUGAAAGGCGGUUUUGCUGUCACUUAUAGAUGGAUCCGUGCCGCAUUAGCUAGUUGGUAAGGUAACGGCUUACCAAGGCAACGAUGCGUAGCCGACCUGAGAGGGUGAUCAGCCACACUGGAACUGAGACACGGUCCAGACUCCUACGGGAGGCAGCAGUAGGGAAUCUUCCGCAAUGGGCGAAAGCCUGACGGAGCAACGCCGCGUGAGUGAUGAAGGUCUUCGGAUCGUAAAACUCUGUUAUUAGGGAAGAACAAAUGUGUAAGUAACUAUGCACGUCUUGACGGUACCUAAUCAGAAAGCCACGGCUAACUACGUG
Molecule: ribosomal RNA, 497 nt
Filed under: uncultured bacterium
Lineage: Bacteria
Description: partial 16S ribosomal RNA
Rfam family: Bacterial small subunit ribosomal RNA
Source: RNAcentral